UACAUCAGAGUGCGUUUCAUUGAAUUGAUCUAGCCGCGCAACAAAUCUCUACCUUGCACCGGUCGGAGGCGCAUCCUCGGCAGCUGUUGACGGCGUUUGCGGGGAUCGGUUUCCCUCUUCCUCCGCUGCCAUGUGGAUGCCGUCAUUUGUAGUCGCUCAUACUGGAGGAGUUUUAAAAAAAAAGUCAUCUGCAGCGACUUAUGCUGGAGGAGCACGAAUUCUACAAGCUUGCUGGAGCCUUUAACGGAUUGGAUGUGCCGUCUGCAUGUGUGUUCAGUUCGAGAUGAAGAGUUAAAAGAAUGAUGGAUUGCAGAUGAUCUUGAUGCCUUGAAAAUGAAUCAAUGCUUUUUGCUUUAGAAUGAUGCAGGAACCCUCGCAUAUUUGACAUCGUACCUGGGCAACAACUUAGCCCAACUUUGCUCACUUAUUGCUACACCUGGGUGGUUUAAGUAUAACACAUCACUCGUAGGGGACACCCCAGCAAAUAUUAUUUGCAUGUUUGAUUGCGAAAUGGAAUUGUGAGGGGAAUGGAAGCAACUUGUGAAUGGAAACCUUAUAGGAAAGGUAUUGAAUGUGUUUGGUUUAAUCAUGGAAUCAAAGUUAGGGAUGGAAUGCUGAGUGCCAAUUCCAUUCCUUUGUUAUAUGCAAUGGAACCGAAAUUCUAUUGAUAUGAAUUUUACCAUAAUGCUCUGGUAUAUAAAUUUGUUUUC
Malania oleifera is the source of this 710-nucleotide long non-coding RNA. RefSeq lists it as uncharacterized. NCBI's taxonomy places the organism in Eukaryota, Viridiplantae, Streptophyta, Magnoliopsida, Santalales, Ximeniaceae. The record is from RefSeq and is a predicted model, not a curated record. The transcript is spliced from 5 exons.